RNAcentral lists this ribosomal RNA (301 nucleotides) under uncultured bacterium. Its description in RNAcentral is "partial 16S ribosomal RNA". It matches the Rfam family "Bacterial small subunit ribosomal RNA", at positions 509 to 807 of the family's 1533-position model. The record is from RNAcentral.
CAGCCGCCGCGGUAAUACGAAGGGGGCUAGCGUUGCUCGGAAUGACUGGGCGUAAAGGGCGCGUAGGCGGAUUGUUUAGUUAGGCGUGAAAUUCCUGGGCUUAACCUGGGGACUGCGCUUAAUACAGACAGUCUAGAGUGAGGAAGAGGGUUGUGGAAUUCCCAGUGUAGAGGUGAAAUUCGUAGAUAUUGGGAAGAACACCGGUGGCGAAGGCGGCAACCUGGUCCUUGACUGACGCUGAGGCGCGAAAGCGUGGGGAGCAAACAGGAUUAGAUACCCCGGUAGUCCCUGUCUCUUAUAC